RNAcentral lists this transfer RNA (82 nucleotides) under bacterium TMED88. RNAcentral's name for it is "tRNA-Leu". It matches the Rfam family "tRNA". Rfam says of the family: Transfer RNA (tRNA) molecules are approximately 80 nucleotides in length. Their secondary structure includes four short double-helical elements and three loops (D, anti-codon, and T loops). The record is from RNAcentral. RNAcentral also lists the same sequence under 2 other names.
GCGGAUAUGAUGAAAUUGGUAGACAUGCUAGUUUUAGGCACUAGUGGAGCAAUCCUUGGGGGUUCAAGUCCCUUUAUCCGCA